RNAcentral lists this ribosomal RNA (479 nucleotides) under uncultured bacterium. Its description in RNAcentral is "partial 16S ribosomal RNA". It matches the Rfam family "Bacterial small subunit ribosomal RNA", at positions 28 to 507 of the family's 1533-position model. The record is from RNAcentral.
GAUGAACGCUAGCGGGAGGCCUGACACAUGCAAGCCGAGCGGUAUUGUUUCUUCGGAAAUGAGAGAGCGGCGUACGAGUGCGUAACACGUGUGCAACCUGCCUUUAUCUGGGGGAUAGCCUUUCGAAAGGAAGAUUAAUACUCCAUAAUAUAUUGAACGGCAUCGUUUAAUAUUGAAAGCUCCGGCGGAUAGAGAUGGGCACGCGCAAGAUUAGCUAGUUGGUGAGGUAACGGCUCACCAAGGCGAUGAUCUUUAGGGGGCCUGAGAGGGUGAUCCCCCACACUGGUACUGAGACACGGACCAGACUCCUACGGGAGGCAGCAGUGAGGAAUAUUGGUCAAUGGGUGCAAGCCUGAACCAGCCAUCCCGCGUGAAGGACGACUGCCCUAUGGGUUGUAAACUUCUUUUGUAUAGGGAUAAACCUACCCUCGAGAGGGUAGCUGAAGGUACUAUACGAAUAAGCACCGGCUAACUCCGUG